RNAcentral lists this ribosomal RNA (608 nucleotides) under uncultured bacterium. RNAcentral's name for it is "bacterial SSU rRNA". It matches the Rfam family "Bacterial small subunit ribosomal RNA", at positions 338 to 948 of the family's 1533-position model. The record is from RNAcentral.
CCUACGGGAGGCAGCAGUGAGGAAUAUUGGACAAUGGGCGCAAGCCUGAUCCAGCCAUGCCGCGUGCAGGAAGAAGCAUCUAUGGUGUGUAAACUGCUUUUGUACAGGAAGAAACACUCCCUCGUGAGGGAGCUUGACGGUACUGUAAGAAUAAGGACCGGCUAACUCCGUGCCAGCAGCCGCGGUAAUACGGAGGGUCCGAGCGUUAUCCGGAAUCAUUGGGUUUAAAGGGUCCGUAGGCGGUUUAAUAAGUCAGUGGUGAAAUCUGGUCGCUCAACGAUCAAACGGCCAUUGAUACUGUUAGACUUGAAUUAUAAGGAAGUAACUAGAAUAUGUAGUGUAGCGGUGAAAUGCUUAGAUAUUACAUGGAAUACCAAUUGCGAAGGCAGGUUACUACUUAUGGAUUGACGCUGAUGGACGAAAGCGUGGGGAGCGAACAGGAUUAGAUACCCUGGUAGUCCACGCCGUAAACGAUGGAUACUAGCUGUUCGGAGCAAUCGGAGUGGCUAAGCGAAAGUGAUAAGUAUCCCACCUGGGGAGUACGUUCGCAAGAAUGAAACUCAAAGGAAUUGACGGCUGAGAGNGCGAGACGACGACGAGGGAGGAGG